RNAcentral lists this ribosomal RNA (450 nucleotides) under uncultured bacterium. Its description in RNAcentral is "bacterial SSU rRNA". It matches the Rfam family "Bacterial small subunit ribosomal RNA", at positions 29 to 507 of the family's 1533-position model. The record is from RNAcentral.
AACGAACGCUGGCGGCAGGCUUAACACAUGCAAGUCGAACGCCCCGCAAGGGGAGUGGCGCACGGGUGAGUAACGCGUGGGAAUCAACCUUCUGGUACGGGACAACCUCGGGAAACUGAGGCUAAUACCGUAUAUCUCCUCAGGGAGAAAGAUUUAUCGCCAGAAGACGAGCCCGCGUCCGAUUAGCUAGUUGGUAGGGUAAUGGCCUACCAAGGCGACGAUCGGUAGCUGGUCUGAGAGGACGAUCAGCCACACUGGGACUGAGACACGGCCCAGACUCCUACGGGAGGCAGCAGUGGGGAAUAUUGGACAAUGGGUGCAAGCCUGAUCCAGCCAUGCCGCGUGCAGGAAGAAAGCCUUCUGGGUUGUAAACUGCUUUUGCCAGGGGAUAAAAACACUUUGCGAAGUGGAUUGAAGGUACCUGGUGAAUAAGCCACGGCUAACUACGUG